Non-coding RNA from Peromyscus maniculatus bairdii (prairie deer mouse), 1294 nucleotides. Lineage: Eukaryota; Metazoa; Chordata; Mammalia; Rodentia; Cricetidae. The record is from RefSeq and is a predicted model, not a curated record.
UCUGCACGGGGGGGAAAAAAAAGAGGAAAGAAAAUAAUUGAUGAGCAGGCAUGGGCAGAGAUGGGGAGCAGACAGGAAACCCUUGCAACGGUACCACUGAUCUCUCCGCUCCUCUGAGAACUUUGCCCCGACACUGGGCCCUGCCCACCAGCGGGGUGAAAACAUAUGCUAACUUUUACUCAAUUAUUUGGAAUCUUAGACAACACCGUUCUUUCUUGAAGAAGGCAAAUGUCUACAAAUGCACGAAGUCCAGCCCCAUCCCUUCUGCCUCAACAGAUUGAUAAAUGUAAUCUGAGGGGAGGGGGGGGGCUCUCUACUAAAAGCAAAAGCAAGACUGUUGUGCUUUACAAAGAGAAAAUCUCAAGGAAACGUCUUAAGUGCUCAACGCUGUGCUCCUCUGCCCUGGUCCUCCCAGAAGAUGGCCGUAGGGUACGCUAAAGGUUCAUUUGCCAAGCAGUAAAAGCCUUGGACUGCACUAAAAUCUAUCUUCCUUGUUUACAAAUGCUUCCCAUUCAUGCCCUAAAGAAUCCAAAUUAGGAAAGAGUUUUAUGGCCAUAAGCCCCCGAUACGAACUUGGACCCGCUGUGCAGUCUGGGCCGCGCGCUUCCGGUGGCUGUCCUGGUGGCCGCUUCCCGCCAGCCACAGGACAAGUGGCUGUUCAUAGGAUUGUACACACGGCUUUGUUUCUGUUGGAAAUGUGUUUUAUUUUCUCUAUAAAAUAAUGGGUGAUCUUUAAAAUUGAUUUUAGAUGGUCUGAGGCAUUACACAGCACAGAAGUAAUGUGCACUAAUGGCGACGAUAUUGGACACAAAUUCAUUUUAGCUUUAUUUCACGUCUAAAGCAAUUCUACUGAGCCUUGAACUGCUCACGUGCUGUUAUUAACUCGCUGGGUACCUAACACAUGGGUACCGCAAACAAAAGUGAUCAGGGUGCAGGCUGAUGGAGACCUCAAGGCUACUGUCCCUUUUCUUCUGCCAUAAUUCAAUUUCCAAUUUGACUGUGCAUUAGUCUCCUUAGCUCUCGGUUUUCUGCUGAAUACUGCCACCUGGAGGACACAAGGGUGAAAAGCGAGAGUCCAGGCCACCCAGUUCACUGGGAAGAGAGGUAAGCGUGGGGGACAGGAGACAGACACCCCCCUGAAGGCUCACACUCACAGGGCCCCGAGAGAGCUCGGAACCACUGUGCCUGCUGAGUUUAGUUUUAUUUUUUAAUUUUUGUGCCUUGAUGGCUAAAUUUAGGCCACCAGGACUGUACAGGUAUGAAUUUGAAACAAAUAAAAAACUACUUUAAUAUA